CUGAGCCCAGGGUUUGGUAGGCAAGGGGGGAGGUGGGUGCAAUGUUUCUUCUUUUGAUGUGUCCUUGUCUCUACCUCAGGGCCCUGGACGCCCUGCCUGUUCAGAAGAGACUGUGGAUGUCCCCAAGCCUCGUGGUCCCUGCUUCGGAUGAUGUGGGGCAGCAUCCAUCUGAACGCAUAUCACUACCAAGUCCAAGGUUUUGGAAGGAAGCCCUUCUCCUCUCCCAUCUCAGUAUUAGACCAUCGGACCUUGGGACACGGGACUCAGGCCGCUGACUCUGCAUCCCUCACAAGUGCACAGAGCUGCCUGCCCUUUUGCCUUGUGUCCAUCCUGGAGCGGCCUUCUGCCAGCUUCUAUGUUGCCUGUCCUUGGUCAGCUUGAAUCUCUUGAGAGAGCUGAGUCUUGUGUGUGCCUAGGCCCUGCCACAGGGCCGUGGACGGCCUGCCUGUUGAGGCGAGUUUAUGGAUGUCCCCGGCCCCCAGUGGUCCCUGCUUCAGAUGAUUUGGGGCAAUUCCAUCUGAAUGCACAUCACUACCAAGUCCAAGGUUUUGGAAGGAAGCCCUUCUCCUCUCCCAUCUCAAGAUUACACCAUGGGACCCUGGAAGAGGGGACUCAGGCCCCUGUCCCUGGAUCCUUGACCACUGCACACUGCUGCCUGCCUUUUCCUUGUGUCCAUCCGGGAACAGCCUUCUGCCAGCUUUGAUGUUACCUGUCCUCGGUCCACUUGAAUCUGUUGAGAGAGCUGAGUCCUGUGUGUGCCUAGGCCCUGCCACAGGUACCUGGACGGCCUGCCUGUUUAGGCGAGGUCGUGCAUGUCCCUGGCCCCUUGUGGUCCCUGCUGUGGAUGGUGUGGGGCACAUCCAUCUGAAUGCACAUCACUUCCAAGACCAAGGUUUUGGAACUUUGAUGUUACCUGUCCUCGGUCCACUUGAAUCUGUUGAGAGAGCUGAGUCCUGUGUGUGCCUAGGUCCUGCCACAGGUAGGU
Peromyscus eremicus (cactus mouse) is the source of this 985-nucleotide long non-coding RNA. RefSeq lists it as uncharacterized. The transcript has 6 exons. NCBI's taxonomy places the organism in Eukaryota, Metazoa, Chordata, Mammalia, Rodentia, Cricetidae. The record is from RefSeq and is a predicted model, not a curated record.